Paramuricea clavata is the source of this 283-nucleotide non-coding RNA. The record is from the annotation of a GenBank genome assembly. Lineage: Eukaryota; Metazoa; Cnidaria; Anthozoa; Malacalcyonacea; Plexauridae.
UCGUUAUAAUGCAAACAGGGACGCCGGAACGAUAAUAGGGCAAAGGGGGGCGGACGCACACCAAGGGCACCUUUACUGAAAAUUUUUUUUUCACUGCAAAAUUUUUUGGCGACCCCCCCCCGUCGCCAAAAAAAUUUCGGUCAGUGUACCAUUUUAGGGGUCAAAAAUUUUUUCCGGACAUACAAAAAUUUUCCGUGAAACAAAAAAUUUUUCCGGAUAUCUUAAAUUUUCGCCAUUUCUUCAAAAUAUUUUUCUAAAUUCCAAAAAUUUCCCAAAAUUUUUA